This 88-nucleotide transfer RNA is filed under the name Candidatus Competibacteraceae bacterium. RNAcentral describes it as "tRNA-Ser". It matches the Rfam family "tRNA". From Rfam's summary of the family: Transfer RNA (tRNA) molecules are approximately 80 nucleotides in length. Their secondary structure includes four short double-helical elements and three loops (D, anti-codon, and T loops). Further hydrogen bonds mediate the characteristic L-shaped molecular structure. tRNAs have two regions of fundamental functional importance: the anti-codon, which is responsible for specific mRNA codon recognition, and the 3' end, to which the tRNAs corresponding amino acid is attached (by aminoacyl-tRNA synthetases). tRNAs cope with the degeneracy of the genetic code in two manners: having more than one tRNA (with a specific anti-codon) for a particular amino acid; and 'wobble' base-pairing, i.e. permitting non-standard base-pairing at the 3rd anti-codon position. The record is from RNAcentral. RNAcentral also lists the same sequence under 1 other name. Lineage: Bacteria; Pseudomonadati; Pseudomonadota; Gammaproteobacteria; Candidatus Competibacteraceae.
GGAGAGGUGGCAGAGCGGUCGAUUGCGACGGUCUUGAAAACCGUUGACCCGCAAGGGUCCGUGGGUUCGAAUCCCACCCUCUCCGCCA